Molecule: transfer RNA, 77 nt
Filed under: Chloroflexota bacterium
Lineage: Bacteria; Bacillati; Chloroflexota
Also listed under: 2 other names
Description: Chloroflexi bacterium tRNA-Val
Rfam family: tRNA
About the family: Transfer RNA (tRNA) molecules are approximately 80 nucleotides in length.
Source: RNAcentral
GGGCGAUUGGCUCAGUUGGUUAGAGCGCGCGGUUCACAUCCGCGAGGUCACUGGUUCGAAUCCAGUAUCGCCCACCA